Molecule: unclassified non-coding RNA, 5945 nt
Filed under: Hevea brasiliensis (rubber tree)
Lineage: Eukaryota; Viridiplantae; Streptophyta; Magnoliopsida; Malpighiales; Euphorbiaceae
Source: RNAcentral
GAAAAGUUGACGUUUUCCCAGAGUCGGAUUCACCUACAUCUAAAGUCACGCGGAGAUAAACUGAAGGAUGUGGAGAAAGCGUAACACAAAAAAUGGAGCAGCAAACGUGCUUCGAUUGCCUUCAACGCCGAAUCAAGUCCGAUUUCUCGGACCAACUUCUCUUCUCUUAUGGCCUAUCCGAUUCUGCUCUCCCCUUCGGCUCCUCUGCUGUUGUCCAGAUGCCAAAUUGUAACGGAGAGGCAUCGACUUCAGCUUCUCAGUUCAUAUUGGAGCAAUUGCCGACUGAAGAACGCGAUUGCUUGACUAAAUACAUUGAUGAAUAUAUCACAAAAAAUGUUGAAGACGGUGACAAUCAUAGGGUUGGUGAUAUGUCUUUGUUUGAAGAAGGCCAAGAUCCUGCUAAGGUCAGUGAUCCAAUGGCGAGGUCAAGUACACCAAAAUAUCCAUUAAAUCAAUUUUCUUCUUUGCUGAAUGGUGACAGAAAAAUGUCUGUAAAUUUGAUGGGAUCUGAAAGUUCAACUUGUACACAUUCUAGUAGGUUUGCAUGCUCCCGUACAUUAAGUGCCUUGGCCCCAUUUGCUCAUAUAGGUAUUUGUUCCUCAAAUAUCUUUGAAAUGCUUGCUUCUAACUUUUUGUCUGGCUGUCUGGAAGAUCACAUAUUGUGCUCGCUUAGUCGCUUGAUUGAAGGAAAAGCUUCAGGGCGAGACAGUGUAAAUUUUCUCCAUAUGGUUGGGAUACCAUCAUUUGAUGAGAAUAACAUCCCUGGCUGCCUGAGGCAUCCAAAUAUAGCUCCUAUUCUUGGAUACCUUAAAGCAUCUGGGUAUGUUUAUUCAGUGCUUCCAAAAACUCCAUACAACUUGGACAGUAUUCUACAUUACUGCCCCAACGUCUUAAAGUCUGAGUGGCAUAUAAGGUUUUUGUUGUAUCAGCUACUGUCUGCCCUUGCUUGCUUGCAUGGUUUAGGGGUUUUCCAUGGUAAGAUACAUCCAUCUAAUAUAAUGCUGACUAAUUUGUGCUGGUCUUGGCUGCGCAUUUGUGAUAUGCCAAAAUCAAGAUCUAAUUUGAGUUCUAGAGAAGCUGAAUGCAAACAUUCUGCAGCCACUGCAAGAAUAUGUUGCUGCAUGGAUGGCUAUUCUUCUCAUGGACUCUAUGCAGAUUUGAAGCUUUCCCCGUCUAUAGAUUGGCAUUCACAAUUUCAUCUGUGGUGGAAGGGUGAGUUGAGCAAUUUUGAGUAUCUACUUGUCCUAAACAGAUUGGCUGGGAGAAGGUGGGGAGAUCACACAUUUCAUACUGUAAUGCCAUGGGUAAUAGACUUUAGCACAAAACCUGAUGAGAAUUCUGAUUUAGGGUGGCGAGACUUGAGCAAAAGUAAAUGGCGGUUAGCAAAGGGUGAUGAACAGUUGGACUUCACCUAUGCAACAUCUGAAAUACCUCAUCAUGUAUCGGAUGAAUGCCUUUCUGAGUUAGCUGUUUGCAGCUACAAAGCUAGGAGGUUACCCUUGAGUGUUUUGCGACUGGCUGUUCGAUCAGUGUAUGAACCAAAUGAGUAUCCCUCUAAUAUGUUACGACUAUACCAAUGGACACCUGACGAGUGCAUCCCAGAGUUCUACUGUGACCCUCAAAUUUUUUGUUCUAUUCACUCUGGCAUGACCAAUCUGGCGGUACCUUCAUGGGCACGUAGUCCAGAGGAGUUCAUUAAACUUCAUUGGGAUGCUUUAGAAAGUGAGCGGGUCUCAUGCCAAAUUCAUCACUGGAUUGACAUUACAUUUGGCUACAAAUUGUCUGGGCAGGCAGCUGUGGCUGCCAAGAAUGUUAUGCUACCUUCAUCAGAGCCCACAAUGCCAAGGUCGGUGGGGCGCCGACAGCUCUUUACUCGACCACAUCCAGUACGUCUAGUUUCUACAAUGAGGAAACAGAAUAGCACCAAUACAUCUGCUGUGAAUAAAUGCCGAUCAAAUGGAGUAGAGAGUGAGACACCUCUUCUUUUUGAAACUGCUUAUUUACAAGAACUGGAAGAAGCAUCUGCAUUUUCUGAACAUGCUGGUCACCUGAGUCCUCAGUAUUGCUAUGGUCCAGAAAACCUUGUGAAUGAUAUGUCUUCUGUUGAUGAGUUAGAGACUGAAAGUAUUGAUAAAAGUGAUUCUAAACUUGAAAUUAGUAAAAACUAUGGAUUUCCAUCUAAUAUUAAUUUAAGUUAUCUUCUUGAGCAUAUAGAGGUGGAGGAUGAAGGAUCCAUGGGAUACCAAGAGCUAUUGCUUUGGAGGCAACAAUCAUUGUAUUCAAAGAACUUUUCUGAAGAUAUUGGCAAGGACAUGUUUUCAAUUGGUUGUGUCUUGGCAGAACUUUAUUUGAAGAGGCCACUCUUCAAUUCAACCUCAUUACCUAUGUAUAUUGGAGGUGGUGUAUUGCCUGAAUCCAUGUUCAAACUUCCCCCACAUGCUAAAGUUCUUGUGGAAGCCUGUAUCCAGAAGGAUUGGAGAAGGAGGCCAUCAGCAAAAAGUGUUUUGGAAUCGCCUUAUUUUCCCACGACAGUCAAGUCAUCCUACUUGUUUAUUGCGCCACUUCAGCUACUAGCAAGUGAUGGGUCCCGUCUUCAAUAUGCUGCAAAUUUUGCAAAACAAGGAGCCCUGAAAGCAAUGGGUGCUUUUGCAGCUGAAAUGUGUGCCCCCUAUUGUUUACCUUUUGUGGUGAAUCCUCAGUCUGAGAUUGAAGCUGAAUGGGCUUAUGUAUUGCUGAAAGAUUUCAUAAAAUGUUUGACACCAAAAGCAGUAAAGACAUUGAUCUUGCCAGCUAUCCAGAAGAUUCUACAGACUCCAGGUUAUUCACAUUUGAAGGUAUCACUUCUCCAAGGUUCGUUUGUGCAAGAGAUUUGGAACCUCAUUGGUAAGCAAGCAUAUUUGGAAACAAUACAUCCUUCAGUUAUAUCAAAUUUGUAUGUUUCUCCUCAUAAGAGUUCAGCUGCUGUUGCUUCUGUGCUGUUGAUUGGCACAAGUGAAGAGCUUGGUGCACCUAUCACACUUAAUCAGGUUAAUUAUUCUAGAGUUUCGGCUUUGCAAUAUGGUGUAGGAGGCAUAAAAUAUUUGCAUGCUUGUGUAUGUGCAUUAACUCGCACACAAUAAAAUUCCACCCAAGUAUUCAAUUUCUUUUUGCAGUUAUAACGUAAUGAUAUUUGUGUGUUGAUCCAGACAAUCUUGCCUUUGAUUCACUGCUUUGGGAAAGGACUCUGUCCUGAUGGAAUUGAUGUGCUGGUUAGAAUUGGUAUUUUCAGUCUAUUACUUGGCAAAACCAAUGUCCUUUUUGGAAUUGGCAUUUUCAGUUUAUUAGCUACCUCUCUGCUGUGCUAUCUUUCAGGUGGUCUUUUGGGUGAGACCUUCAUUGUCAAACAAAUGCUACCGUUGCUUAAACAGGUCGUUCGUUCUUUUGUUGGUGUUUCGCAUAUGAAUAAGCCUGAGCCUGUGCAGAGUUGGAGUGCUUUAGCCCUAAUUGAUUGUCUGAACACAUUAGAUGGUCUAGUUGCACUUUUGCCAAGGGAGUUAGUUGUAAAGGAGCUGAUUGAAGAUAAAAGUUGUUUACAUGUUACUGUUCUUAUGCAGACGAAAUUGGAAAUUUCAGUGCUUCAGGUGGUCCAAACUUCUACACUGUUCUAUUAAUCUUCCAGCCUUUUUCUUGCUUGAUUUUUGAAGGUUGCUGCUACGACUCUCAUGGCAGUUUGUCAACGGGUUGGACCAGAAUUAACAGCGUUACAUGUUCUGCCACAACUUAAAGAGCUAUUCGAUGAGCUUGCUUUCUCACAGGAAACUGCAAAUGGUUCUGGCACUUUUGUCAGAAACUUGAGGAUUUCCAAAGCCAAAGUAGAUGGGGAGGCUCAAAUUGAAAGCCGAAUGGACCUUGUGUUACUUCUGUAUCCAUCAUUUGCAUCUCUUCUUGGGAUUGAGAAACUUCGCCAGUGCUGUGCCACUUGGUUGCUUCUUGAGCAAUUUCUUCUGCGGUGUCAUAAUUGGAAGUGGGAAUAUUCAGGAGAAUCAUCUAGAAGUGGAGCAGAAAAUAUAACUGCUAAAAGGCCUGCUUUUAACAAGAGCUCAACUUCUGAGUACAAUCCUGCUAAGCUGUUGCUUAAUGGGGUUGGGUGGUCAGUUCCACAAUCACAAGGAAUUAAAGGUUCCAAAAACUUGAUACCUCAAAGACGGUUAGAUGGCAUUCAUCAGAAUUCAGUUGAAAGUCAUGUAGCCUUGAACCUUUUGAAGUGUGAACCAUGGUUUUGGUUUCCCAGUCCAGCUGACAGCUGGGAAGGGCCUGAUUUCCUUGGGCGUGUUGGGAGUCUAAAAGAUGAACUUCCAUGGAAGAUUAGAGCAUCUAUUCUAUAUUCAAUCCGUGCACAUCAUGGAGCAUUAAGAUCUUUAGCUGUUAGCCAAGAUGAAUGUAUGGUUUUUACUGCAGGAAUUGGCCCAGGGUUCAAGGGAACUGUUCAAAAGUGGGAACUUUCAAGAAUAAAUUGUAUGUCUGGCUAUUAUGGUCAUGAGGAGGUUGUGAACGACAUUUGUGUAUUGUCAUCUAGUGGAAAGGUAGCAUCUUGUGAUGGAACUAUUCAUGUUUGGAAUAGCAGAACAGGGAAAUUAGUGUCACUUUUUGCUGAACAAUCAGUGGAUUCUACACAUCUAUCAAGCCCUUCAUCCUCUGCAUCAAAAAUUAACGUUGAUCAUCCAAAUAUGCUGAACUCCAAUACACUAUCAAGUGGAUUAUUGACUAGCGCAUUUGAUGGGAGCUUGUACACUUGUAUGCAGUACUUAGAAUCUCUUGAAAUGCUUGUAGUUGGCACUGGAAAUGGUUCUCUGAGAUUUAUUGAUGUUGCCCAGAGUCAAAAGCUUCAUCUUUGGAGGGGUGAAUCUAUGGAGUCAACUUUUCCUUCUCUCGUCUCUGCAAUAUGCUCAUGUGGAUCUGACAAAACUCCUGCUGAUGGAACUCUUGCUUCACCAUCUUGGAUUGCAACUGGACUAAGUUCAGGUAAUUGCAGGUUAUUUGAUUUGAGAAGUGGAAAUGUUAUUGCCUUUUGGAGGGCUCAUGAUGGAUAUGUGACAAAGUUGGCUUCACCAGAGGACCAUUUACUUGUUUCCAGUUCUCUUGACAGGACUCUGCGAAUUUGGGACCUGAGAAGGAAUUGGCCGCCACAGCCCACAAUUUUUAAAGGCCAUACAGAUGGGGUAUCUGGUUUCUCUGUGUGGGGUCAAGAUGUUAUUUCGAUUUCCAAAAAUAAGAUUGGGCUUUCCACCUUGUCCAGAUCUGCUGAAGAAGAUGGGCAGCAACAGAUUGUGCCUCAGAAGCUAUAUGCAGCUGUUCAUGGAAUGAAAAAUUUGUCAGUGUUAUCAAGUAUAGAUAUUCUACCUUUCUCACGUUUGUUUGUUGUUGGAACCGAAGAUGGUUAUUUGAGAGUAUGCUGUUAGAUGUGCCUUGAUGCAGAAAAAGAGUUAAAUAGUUUUUGUAAUUGUGUGGCUGUAAGUUAUAUUUUACUUUUUAAUUGAUAAUCUCAUGUGCAAAUUUUGUAAAUGGAUUUGAAUUCUUUUACCAUGCUUUGAGAUGAAGCAAGAUUCUUUUUGUUUCGAUUGGAAGCUGCAAACCCAUUGUUGAUGUGAGGUUGUCACUGCUGUCUCCAACUUGUCCUUCAGAAUAAUGGAAAACCAAUUGCUGAAAGAAAGUAGUUCAUCAUUUGACAUGACAAGACAUUUUGGUUAGGGCCUUUGGGCAUUUCCAGACGUGUAUGCCUCUCCGUUGCCCUCUGUACAUUUCUGUUCUGCUUAUUUGUUCAGAUUGAUUAUUUUGAAAAUUCCAUAUUCACCUUUAUGGCCUAAUAGAAAUCAAAAGUAUCUAACAUGAGAAAAGAAGGGAAAAUACUUUGUUAAUCAAAUGAAGAAUCAAUCAGACAGUUUGGCCCUCUAUUACAUCGAGGCCUG